AAAUUGAAGAGUUUGAUCAUGGCUCAGAUUGAACGCUGGCGGCAGGCCUAACACAUGCAAGUCGAACGGUAACAGGAAGCAGCUUGCUGCUUUGCUGACGAGUGGCGGACGGGUGAGUAAUGUCUGGGAAACUGCCUGAUGGAGGGGGAUAACUACUGGAAACGGUGGCUAAUACCGCAUAACGUCGCAAGACCAAAGAGGGGGACCUUCGGGCCUCUUGCCAUCAGAUGUGCCCAGAUGGGAUUAGCUAGUUGGUGAGGUAACGGCUCACCAAGGCGACGAUCCCUAGCUGGUCUGAGAGGAUGACCAGCCACACUGGAACUGAGACACGGUCCAGACUCCUACGGGAGGCAGCAGUGGGGAAUAUUGCACAAUGGGGGCAAGCCUGAUGCAGCCAUGCCGCGUGUAUGAAGAAGGCCUUAGGGUUGUAAAGUACUUUCAGCGGGGAGGAAGGUGUUG
This 459-nucleotide ribosomal RNA is filed under the name Salmonella enterica. Its description in RNAcentral is "bacterial SSU rRNA". It matches the Rfam family "Bacterial small subunit ribosomal RNA", at positions 1 to 456 of the family's 1533-position model. The record is from RNAcentral. Lineage: Bacteria; Pseudomonadati; Pseudomonadota; Gammaproteobacteria; Enterobacterales; Enterobacteriaceae.